RNAcentral lists this ribosomal RNA (490 nucleotides) under uncultured Sphingobacteriales bacterium. Its description in RNAcentral is "bacterial SSU rRNA". It matches the Rfam family "Bacterial small subunit ribosomal RNA", at positions 885 to 1382 of the family's 1533-position model. The record is from RNAcentral. Lineage: Bacteria; Pseudomonadati; Bacteroidota; Sphingobacteriia; Sphingobacteriales.
AGCCGCUCAGAACUUAAAGGAAUUGACGGGGCCGCACAAGCGGUGGAGCAUGUGGUUAAUUCGAUGAUACGCGAGGAACUUACCUGGGCUCGAACGUAAGAUGACUGUAGGUGAAAGCUUACAUCUCUUCGGAGCAUUUUACGAGGUGCUGCAUGGUUGUCGUCAGCUCGUGCCGUGAGGUGUCGGGUUAAGUCCCAUAACGAGCGCAACCCCUACCUUUAGUUGCCAUCAGGUUAAGCUGGGGACUCUAAAGGAACUGCCUACGCAAGUAGUGAGGAAGGCGGGGAUGACGUCAAAUCAGCACGGCCCUUACGUCCAGGGCUACACACGUGCUACAAUGGCCGAUACAGAGGGCAGCUACCUGGUGACAGGAUGCAAAUCUCCAAAGUCGGUCUCAGUUCGGAUCGGAGUCUGCAACCCGACUCCGUGAAGUUGGAUUCGCUAGUAAUCGCGCAUCAGCCAUGGCGCGGUGAAUACGUUCCCGGGCCUU